GAUGAAGAACGCAGCGAAAUGCGAUAAGUAGUGUGAAUUGCAGAAUUCAGUGAAUCAUCGAAUCUUUGAACGCACAUUGCGCCCCUUGGUAUUCCAUGGGGCAUGCCUGUUCGAGCGUCAUUUGUACCUUCAAGCUCUGCUUGGUGUUGGGUGUUUGUCUCGCCUCUGCGUGUAGACUCGCCUCAAAACAAUUGGCAGCCGGCGUAUUGAUUUCGGAGCGCAGUACAUCUCGCGCUUUGCAAUCAUAACGACGACGUCCAAAAGUACAUUUUUACACUCUUGACCUCGGAUCAGGUAGGGAUACCCGCUGAACUUAAGCAUAUCAAUAAGCGGAGGA
RNAcentral lists this unclassified non-coding RNA (337 nucleotides) under soil metagenome. Its description in RNAcentral is "partial contains 5.8S ribosomal RNA, internal transcribed spacer 2, and large subunit ribosomal RNA". The stretch from base 1 to 120 matches the Rfam family "5.8S ribosomal RNA", at positions 35 to 154 of the family's 154-position model. The record is from RNAcentral.